AGUGAGUGAUGUGGAGCCCUCCUGAGAUACAGGGACUCAUGCUGUGCCCUCACUCUGGACAUUAUUGUAGGCUGCUUCCAAGUGACCUGUCUGCAAACUCCUGCCUUUUGGGGGGCUGAAAAACAAAGCUCUAUUGGAGGUACCACUGAUUCCAGUACGGUGGGAUGUGUAAGUGUAGACAGCAUGGAGUUUAACUUAAAGCACGAAUCAACAAGCAGAUGUGCUGAAAUGAACAGAAAAAUAUUUGCUGAAAUUCAACCAGAUGGAGAGUGACUGUGCUGGUUUGAAAGGCAGAAAAGCAGCUUUUGUAUCAAGAGACAUAAGGAGUACUGUGUCUUCU
This is a long non-coding RNA of Passer domesticus (house sparrow), 340 nucleotides long. RefSeq lists it as uncharacterized. The transcript is spliced from 3 exons. NCBI's taxonomy places the organism in Eukaryota, Metazoa, Chordata, Aves, Passeriformes, Passeridae. The record is from RefSeq and is a predicted model, not a curated record.